ACCAGCGAAAAGAGCGUUAGGGGAGACGCAACGUCUCUUCUUCCACACGAUUCCCUCGCCAUCCGAUCCCCUGCGCCCGCGCCUCCGCUCCGCCGCCAUGCCUAGCCCGCACGCGAGCUCCUCCCGCGCGCAGCCCCGUAUUUCAUUUUGGCGCGCACCCGACCGCGCCAACAUCCUCUCCAUCUAUUUAUCUGCCAGUCCCAAAUUUUCCCCAAUCACUCGUGCAGGAAGAAACCGUCCAAAUCCCUCUACUCUCUAGCUACAAUCGACGAAAUCCAUCCCCAACCCAUCAUCCCCGAGGAAGGAAUCGUCCCCAAGCGUAGCAGAAGAAUGAAGCGGCGGUCAAAAUCCAAUCAGACCGAUGCUCCAGCCGUCGGUCCGGUCGCCGGUGGAGCUCCAAGAGCCGGCGGUGCACGAAACGCUGGUGUUUCACCCACUGCUGGUGCUCCAGUCUUCCAUCCUCCGACCGUCGGUAGUGGUGCUCCAGGAGCAGCCCCUGCUCCAGAUGCUAGCAUCGAUCCAGGAGCUGGCAGUCCUCCCGGCCGCUCGUGCUACAGUGACAGGUAGCUCAGCACUCCAUCUUCCGGGCGCCGGUGAUUAUCCAUGGUGGCGAGCAGCGUCUCCUGGUAGCUCGAACUGGUCAGUGCUUGGUUGCACAAUUCAAUUGAUCCGGUUGAAGGAAAUGAUAAGAAGUCUGAUCAAUAUUGGUAUGAUGUUACUUCUACUUACAACAGCACCACAAAGUACGACCGUAUGAGAAACCGUAACCAGCUGAAGCUCCGUUGGGAGCGCAUUAAGAAACCAGUCACUGAAUUCAAUGGCUGCUAUGCAAGAAUCAGUAAAGUGCACCAGAGCGUCAUGAGUGAUGACCAAAAGAUGGAUCAAGCAUUGCAGUUGUAUGCCUCUGAACACAGUGACAAGCCUUUCACAAUGGUGCAUGUAUGGAGGGUAUUACGACAUGAGCAUAAGUGGUCUGCACAUGUGAAGAAAUUGAAUAAUGAAAAGGACAAGAGUGCAGCUUCUAACCCUGCUCAUGUUGUGAAUGUUGAAGAUGACAGCGUCCCAUCAGCCGCAAGAAGACCAAAGAUGAACGCAACAGAAAACGUGCAGCACCGGAGCCUUUCAACUCUGCAAGAAGCAACAAUCUCUCAAGGACCUAACCCAGAAAUGGAAGAAGUGAUGCAAAGAAAUGCUACUAUUCGUGAUCGUGCUGCUCAUAGACAACUUCAAUCAGACUUGAUUGAACAUAUCCGGCAGAAGUUUGGGAAUUAACAAUUAUUAGAUCAGGUCGUGCCAAUUUGGUGUUGCUGUCAACCUGGAGAACUGCUCGUGUCUACUGAAAUUCUACCUUCUGAUGUCAUCAGACUACCUAAAUUAUCCUAGCAUGUAGUGUCAUAUUAUCUGUUAUUUUGGUGUCAUGCAUGUGGCCAACUUGUGGCUUCAUGUGUUUAGUCUGGUGCUGCAAGUGCUGCUGUAUGAAUUGCUCACGAGAGAUUACCAGUUUGAGUCCUGCCAUUUUGGCUACCAGUUUGAGUCGUGACAUUGUGGCUGUCAUGUUACUUUAUUAUCAAAAUGGAUGCCUAUAUAUAUUUAAGUUUAUUUGUGUCAA
This is a long non-coding RNA of Panicum hallii, 1609 nucleotides long. RefSeq lists it as uncharacterized. Lineage: Eukaryota; Viridiplantae; Streptophyta; Magnoliopsida; Poales; Poaceae. The transcript has 3 exons. The record is from RefSeq and is a predicted model, not a curated record.